GACGAACGCUGGCGGCGUGCCUAAUACAUGCAAGUAGAACGCUGAAGGAGGAGCUUGCUUCCCUGGAUGAGUUGCGAACGGGUGAGUAACGCGUAGGUAACCUGCCUGGUAGCGGGGGAUAACUAUUGGAAACGAUAGCUAAUACCGCAUAACAGUAGAUGUUGCAUGACAUUUGCUUAAAAGGUGCAAUUGCAUCACUACCAGAUGGACCUGCGUUGUAUUAGCUAGUUGGUGGGGUAACGGCUCACCAAGGCGACGAUACAUAGCCGACCUGAGAGGGUGAUCGGCCACACUGGGACUGAGACACGGCCCAGACUCCUACGGGAGGCAGCAGUAGGGAAUCUUCGGCAAUGGACGGAAGUCUGACCGAGCAACGCCGCGUGAGUGAAGAAGGUUUUCGGAUCGUAAAGCUCUGUUGUAAGAGAAGAACGGGUGUGAGAGUGGAAAGUUCACACU
Molecule: ribosomal RNA, 456 nt
Filed under: Streptococcus mitis
Lineage: Bacteria; Bacillati; Bacillota; Bacilli; Lactobacillales; Streptococcaceae
Description: bacterial SSU rRNA
Rfam family: Bacterial small subunit ribosomal RNA
Source: RNAcentral